CGUGCAAUACAAAACUCAGAUCGGACAGAUAGUCUAGCUAGCUGUCUGAAUGUACCCUGCAGAGAUCUGAGGAGCAGUUAACCAUAGUACUCAAAAAUCCACUGGAGUUGAAAAUUCAAACACAAACUAAGCGGAAGGUGAUGGACAUCCGGC
Etheostoma cragini (Arkansas darter) is the source of this 153-nucleotide long non-coding RNA. RefSeq lists it as uncharacterized. The transcript has 2 exons. The record is from RefSeq and is a predicted model, not a curated record. NCBI's taxonomy places the organism in Eukaryota, Metazoa, Chordata, Actinopteri, Perciformes, Percidae.